AUGGCAUCCUCCAGCUCAUCCAACUCCACCCUUACCGGCCAAAUUACCGAGAAGCUCACCCGCACAAACUUCAUCCUCUGGCGCACACAGAUCACGCCGCAGCUCAGAGGCGCGGGCGUCUAUGGCUACGUUGACGGCAGCACGCCGGAACCAGCCAAGACAGUCGUCACCAAGGACAAGGACGGGAAGGAGACGGCCGCACCAAACCCCCUUCAUCCGAUCUGGUUCCGAGAAGAUCAACAGGUACUUGGUUAUCUUCUGAACAAUCUGUCCAAGGAAGUACUCGUGCAGGUGACCUCGAUCUGCCAUGCACACGAGCUAUGGACAGUGCUGGCGAACAUGUUUUCGUCCCAGUCGCUGUCGCGCAUCAACAACAUCCGCGUCGCCCUUGCGAACGCACAGAAGGGAAACCAGUCCGUUGCGACCUUCUUCGCGCACAUGCGCUCCCUCGCCGAUGAGCUUGCUGCUGCAGGCAAGCCACUCGGCGACGACGAGCUCAUCUCCUACAUCACGGCCGGCCUCGACAUGGAGUACCAACCCCUCGUCUCCGCCCUCGACGCCCGAACUCAGCCUGUCACCCUUGAUGAAUUGUAUGCUCAGAUGAGCAACUUCGAUCAAAGGGUGGCGCUGUUCCAGGGCACAAACUCUGGUGGUGGCGGCUUCAAGUCCUCUGCUAACGCUGCUGUGCGUGGCCGAGGUGGUGGAUCACGCUACCGCGGGCCAACCCGCGGCAGAGGAAACAACAGCAACAACACCCGCGGCGACCGCGGUGAUCGCGGUGACCGUGGCGACCGCGGCGACUCUCGCGGCAGUGGUGGCCGGCCCUCCUACACCAACAAUAGGGGCGGUCGCCGCAACUCCUCCAACAAGCGCCCCGACGCCGUACGUUGUCAGAUCUGUGGAAAACCCGGCCACACAGCCAAAGACUGUUGGUACAGGUUCGAUGACGACGGUGACUCGUCCUCGGAUGAGAAGGUGGCCGGGGCAGCUGAUGGCUCAUAUGGAGUAGACACAAACUGGUAUGUGGAUAGCGGUGCAACCAACCACAUCACCGGUGAACUCGAGAAGGUGACCAUGCGUGAGAAAUACUGCGGCAAAGACCACAUCCACACUGCUAGUGGAGAAGGUAUGAAGAUUCGUCAUGUUGGUCACUCAAUUAUUAAUACCCCCCAUAGAAAAAUUCAUCUUCGAAAAAUCUUGCAUGUCCCUAGUGCUCAUAAAAACCUUCUCUCCGUUCAUCGUAUUGCUAUUGAUAAUCAUGUCUUCCUUGAGUUUCACCCCUUCUAUUUUUUGAUCAAGGAUCAGGCAACGAAGAAGGUGCUUUAUCUAGGUAGAUGCGUUCGUGGGCUCUACCCUUUGAUUCCGGAGAUUAGAAGGUUCAAUAAACAAGUUUUCAGUGCCACCAAGCUAUCUUCAACACGGUGGCACGAUCGAUUAGGGCAUGCAGCUUUUCCUUUAGUUAAACGUUUGCUUAGGAAAAAUAAACUCUCAUAUGUUGGAGAGCACAAUGUCGAAACAAUUUGUGAUUCAUGUCAGAAAGCUAAAAGUCAUCAGUUGCCGUAUUCUAUUUCCACUAGUAUUUCUACCAAGCCUUUACAACUCAUUUUUUCUGAUGUUUGGGGACCUGCCCCAGCGUCUGUUGGUAGACAUGCAUACUACGUGAGUUUCAUUGAUGAUUUUAGCAAAUUCUCUUGGAUCUAUCUUCUUAAGAAGAGAUCCGACGUGUUUCAAGUCUUUCUCAAUUUCCAAGCUCUCGUUGAACGCAAGUUUGACACCAAAAUCAUCGCCCUCCAAUCUGAUUGGGGAGGUGAAUAUGAGAAGCUAAACUCAUUUUUCCAAAAACUUGGCAUAGCCCAUCACGUGUCAUGUCCGCAUGCCCAUCAACAGAAUGGGUCUGCCGAGCGCAAACACAGGCACAUAGUAGAAGUUGGCCUUGCUCUCUUGGCAAGAGCAUCCAUGCCACUCAAGUUUUGGGAUGAAGCAUUCCUUACGGCCGUUCAUCUCAUAAAUAUAUUGCCUAGUCGGGUCAUUAACAAUGACACACCCACUGAAAGACUCCUUCAUACCAAGCCUGACUACAACUCUCUUCGUGUUUUUGGCUGUGCCUGUUGGCCAAAUCUUAGACCAUAUAACAAUCGCAAGCUCAUGUAUCGAUCAAAACAGUGUGUCUUCAUUGGAUACAGUGCACAACAUAAAGGAGUCAAGUGCCUUGAUGUCUCCACCGGUCGAGUAUACAUAUCACGUGAUGUUGUUUUCGAUGAAACCAAAUUCCCCUUUGCUGAUCUUCAUCCCAAUGCCGGCGCACUCCUUAGAAAAGAAAUUCUUCUUCUACCGUCGCAUCUUUCCGGUAUUGAUCAUGGGGGAGAAAAUAAUUGUGAUGAUCAUACGUUGACUAAUCCUCAUAACCCUGUGCAUGAGUCUGAUGAUGCAGAUACAGCAGCUGAUGAUGAAGAAAACGGUGCAAAAAUCGCUGAAAAUGAUGAAGAAACCAGGCGACAUUUUAUGUGCCAGAAUCUUGGAGGCAUAUCCUCCUCGGGAUUGGAACGGCAGCAGUUCGGCAGCGAAUCUGCUCCGGGACUCGUGCGGCAGCAGGGCGGCGGCAGCGCAGAAACCGCGUCGCCUGCGCUUGCGCCCAUCAGGAGCCGCGCCAACGACUCUGAUUCCGCCACGCGGGCGCCACCGACCGGUCCAGACGCUCCGUCGGGCCCGCGCCAGUCUAGUCACUCCACGCGGCAGGCCGAGAGCCGCUGGCCCGCGAGUGGGCCUCGCUGCUACGCGCGCCGCCCGCAAACCGGCGCUGAUCCAAUCAGGGGGUCGGGCGCGCGAUCCGGAGCGGAUUCUGCCGCUGAUUUGUCCAGGGGCCCAGGCGCGCGAUCCAGGGCGGAUCCUGUCGCCGCCACAGGGACUGGUGCGGGAUCUUCUGCGCCGCCUACGCCCGCUCCGUCAUCUGCAACAGCCACAGAAGAUCCGGCUGCGCCUGACGCGGCUGCAACACCAGGAGAAUCCACCUCGGGAUCGGCUGGUGCAGAUUCUCCCGGAUCUUCUGUGCCCGUGUCUUCACCACGCCUUCCACGCACGCGUCUACAAAAGGGAGUGAUUCAGCCUAUAAAUUAUAAAACCAAGUUUGGUCCUGCAUGUUACACAGGAGAACCACGCACACUUGAUGAGGCCCUAGGAGAUGCACGGUGGAGGAAAGCUAUGGAAGAAGAACACGUGGCACUCCAGAAAAACAAAACGUGGCAUUUGGUUUCCCCACCACGAGGUAAAAACUUGAUCGAUUGCAAGUGGGUUUACAGAAUUAAAAGUAAAUCUGAUGGAACCAUAGACCGCUAUAAGGCCAGACUUGUAGCUAAAGGUUACAAACAGCGAUAUGGUAUUGACUAUGAGGAUACUUUUAGUCCUGUUGUAAAGGCUGCUACUAUUCGUCUUGUGUUAUCAAUUGCUGUUUCCAGGGGCUGGAGACUUAGGCAGCUAGAUGUACAGAACGCGUUUCUGCAUGGUGUUCUGGAAGAGGAAGUAUACAUGAAACAACCUCCCGGGUUCGUCGACAAAAACUCACCCUCUCAUGUUUGUAGGCUUGAUAAAGCUCUUUAUGGACUAAAGCAGGCACCCCGAGCAUGGUACUCACGUCUCAGUCAAAAGUUACAAGCACUUGGCUUUGUUCCAUCCAAAUCAGAUACUUCAUUGUUCAUUUAUAGAAAGGCAAAUACAUGA
Molecule: ribosomal RNA, 3714 nt
Filed under: Triticum aestivum (bread wheat)
Lineage: Eukaryota; Viridiplantae; Streptophyta; Magnoliopsida; Poales; Poaceae
Description: partial small subunit ribosomal RNA
Rfam family: Small nucleolar RNA Z247 (bases 478-616)
Source: RNAcentral